CAUAGGUUAAUGAGGCGAACCGGGGGAACUGAAACAUCUAAGUACCCCGAGGAAAAGAAAUCAACCGAGAUUCCCCCAGUAGCGGCGAGCGAACGGGGAGGAGCCCAGAGCCUGAAUCAGUGUGUGUGUUAGUGGAAGCGUCUGGAAAGGCGUGCGAUACAGGGUGACAGCCCCGUACACAAAAAUGCACAUAUUGUGAGCUCGAUGAGUAGGGCGGGACACGUGGUAUCCUGUCUGAAUAUGGGGGGACCAUCCUCCAAGGCUAAAUACUCCUGACUGACCGAUAGUGAACCAGUACCGUGAGGGAAAGGCGAAAAGAACCCCGGCGAGGGGAGUGAAAAAGAACCUGAAACCGUGUACGUACAAGCAGUGGGAGCCUCUUUAUGGGGUGACUGCGUACCUUUUGUAUAAUGGGUCAGCGACUUAUAUUCUGUAGCAAGGUUAACCGAAUAGGGGAGCCGAAGGGAAACCGAGUCUUAACUGGGCGUUAAGUUGCAGGGUAUAGACCCGAAACCCGGUGAUCUAGCCAUGGGCAGGUUGAAGGUUGGGUAACACUAACUGGAGGACCGAACCGACUAAUGUUGAAAAAUUAGCGGAUGACUUGUGGCUGGGGGUGAAAGGCCAAUCAAACCGGGAGAUAGCUGGUUCUCCCCGAAAGCUAUUUAGGUAGCGCCUCGUGAAUUCAUCUCCGGGGGUAGAGCACUGUUUCGGCAAGGGGGUCAUCCCGACUUACCAACCCGAUGCAAACUGCGAAUACCGGAGAAUGUUAUCACGGGAGACACACGGCGGGUGCUAACGUCCGUCGUGAAGAGGGAAACAACCCAGACCGCCAGCUAAGGUCCCAAAGUCAUGGUUAAGUGGGAAACGAUGUGGGAAGGCCCAGACAGCCAGGAUGUUGGCUUAGAAGCAGCCAUCAUUUAAAGAAAGCGUAAUAGCUCACUGGUCGAGUCGGCCUGCGCGGAAGAUGUAACGGGGCUAAACCAUGCACCGAAGCUGCGGCAGCGACACUAUGUGUUGUUGGGUAGGGGAGCGUUCUGUAAGCCUGUGAAGGUGGCCUGUGAGGGUUGCUGGAGGUAUCAGAAGUGCGAAUGCUGACAUAAGUAACGAUAAAGCGGGUGAAAAGCCCGCUCGCCGGAAGACCAAGGGUUCCUGUCCAACGUUAAUCGGGGCAGGGUGAGUCGACCCCUAAGGCGAGGCCGAAAGGCGUAGUCGAUGGGAAACAGGUUAAUAUUCCUGUACUUGGUGUUACUGCGAAGGGGGGACGGAGAAGGCUAUGUUGGCCGGGCGACGGUUGUCCCGGUUUAAGCGUGUAGGCUGGUUUUCCAGGCAAAUCCGGAAAACCAAGGCUGAGGCGUGAUGACGAGGCACUACGGUGCUGAAGCGACAAAUGCCCUGCUUCCAGGAAAAGCCUCUAAGCAUCAGGUAACAUCAAAUCGUACCCCAAACCGACACAGGUGGUCAGGUAGAGAAUACCAAGGCGCUUGAGAGAACUCGGGUGAAGGAACUAGGCAAAAUGGUGCCGUAACUUCGGGAGAAGGCACGCUGAUAUGUAGGUGAAGCGACUUGCUCGUGGAGCUGAAAUCAGUCGAAGAUACCAGCUGGCUGCAACUGUUUAUUAAAAACACAGCACUGUGCAAACACGAAAGUGGACGUAUACGGUGUGACGCCUGCCCGGUGCCGGAAGGUUAAUUGAUGGGGUUAGCGGUAACGCGAAGCUCUUGAUCGAAGCCCCGGUAAACGGCGGCCGUAACUAUAACGGUCCUAAGGUAGCGAAAUUCCUUGUCGGGUAAGUUCCGACCUGCACGAAUGGCGUAAUGAUGGCCAGGCUGUCUCCACCCGAGACUCAGUGAAAUUGAACUCGCUGUGAAGAUGCAGUGUACCCGCGGCAAGACGGAAAGACCCCGUGAACCUUUACUAUAGCUUGACACUGAACAUUGAGCCUUGAUGUGUAGGAUAGGUGGGAGGCUUUGAAGUGUGGACGCCAGUCUGCAUGGAGCCGACCUUGAAAUACCACCCUUUAAUGUUUGAUGUUCUAACGUUGGCCCGUAAUCCGGGUUGCGGACAGUGUCUGGUGGGUAGUUUGACUGGGGCGGUCUCCUCCUAAAGAGUAACGGAGGAGCACGAAGGUUGGCUAAUCCUGGUCGGACAUCAGGAGGUUAGUGCAAUGGCAUAAGCCAGCUUGACUGCGAGCGUGACGGCGCGAGCAGGUGCGAAAGCAGGUCAUAGUGAUCCGGUGGUUCUGAAUGGAAGGGCCAUCGCUCAACGGAUAAAAGGUACUCCGGGGAUAACAGGCUGAUACCGCCCAAGAGUUCAUAUCGACGGCGGUGUUUGGCACCUCGAUGUCGGCUCAUCACAUCCUGGGGCUGAAGUAGGUCCCAAGGGUAUGGCUGUUCGCCAUUUAAAGUGGUACGCGAGCUGGGUUUAGAACGUCGUGAGACAGUUCGGUCCCUAUCUGCCGUGGGCGCUGGAGAACUGAGGGGGGCUGCUCCUAGUACGAGAGGACCGGAGUGGACGCAUCACUGGUGUUCGGGUUGUCAUGCCAAUGGCACUGCCCGGUAGCUAAAUGCGGAAGAGAUAAGUGCUGAAAGCAUCUAAGCACGAAACUUGCCCCGAGAUGAGUUCUCCCUGACUCCUUGAGAGUCCUGAAGGAACGUUGAAGACGACGACGUUGAUAGGCCGGGUGUGUAAGCGCAGCGAUGCGUUGAGCUAACCGGUACUAAUGAACCGUGAGGCUUAACCUUACAACGCCGAAG
This 2753-nucleotide ribosomal RNA is filed under the name Escherichia coli. RNAcentral describes it as "partial 23S ribosomal RNA". It matches the Rfam family "Bacterial large subunit ribosomal RNA". The record is from RNAcentral. Lineage: Bacteria; Pseudomonadati; Pseudomonadota; Gammaproteobacteria; Enterobacterales; Enterobacteriaceae.